GUGGGGGACUGCGUUCGCGCUCUCC
This 25-nucleotide non-coding RNA is filed under the name Cricetulus griseus (Chinese hamster). Lineage: Eukaryota; Metazoa; Chordata; Mammalia; Rodentia; Cricetidae. The record is from RNAcentral. RNAcentral also lists the same sequence under 1 other name.